CUCCCUUCUGCUAAGACAGAGAAAAAGGUACAGAAACAGACAGUCUGGAUGACCUGAGCUGGAAGUCACUCCCAAUAUCUCAGAAGACCUAUGGAAAUCCAUCCCUUUAAAAAGUUAUCUGCAAAUGCCUGGGAAUUUAGCAGAUGGACUGGAAGGCACCAGGAGACCAGGUGGCUGAGAAGUCCUUCCAAAUGGGAGCUGGCAGAGCCAAGCCCUGAGCUCUGCCCAUCGUCCAGUUCUGGCCAGAGGCCCUGGGCAGGCAGGGCCUGAAAGGCAAGGAGAGGCCUGUUUAACCCGAUGGAGGGGAGUGAAUGCCCACAGCAGAGAUGGCGCGGCAUGCGGGUCUUUGCCCUGCCCUUGCCUGUGACAAAUAUGGCCAAUCAGCCCAUGACAAACAUGACCAAUUGAUUCAUUCACUGUACUUUUCCCAAAGACACCCAAUCACAGCUUCGAAAUCUUUCAUAGCAGAGACCUUUGGGCAGCCACCAGCACCAACAGGACUUGAAAACUCUUUGUCAGCCCUGACAGGGCUCCAGGCUGGGCUUUUGGCUGUGCAGUCAGGACUCCAGGGGGUGGCUCUGUGGAAGGUGCUCACAUACACACACUCAGGCUGUGAGCCUCCUCCAAACACAUACAACCAGUCACUCUGAGAAGUAAGGGAAGCCACCUCUGCCUUUUGACGGUUGCUUCAAUACAAAUUUCGGUUUUUGGUUUUGAGGGUAGGAUUUGAGACAGAGUCUCGCUUUGCUGCCUAGGCUAGAGUGCAGUGGCUCAGAUCAUAGCUCACUAUAGCCUUGAACUCCUAGGUUCAAGCCAUUCUUGUGCCUCAGCCUCCUGAGUAGCUAGGACUAUAGGUGCUCACCACCAUGCCCAGCUCACAUUUUCAUUUUUGUAGAGACGGGGUCUCAGUAUGUUGUCCAGGCUGGUCUCCAGCUCCUGGCCUCAAGAGAUCCUCCUGCCUUGGCCUUCUAAAGUGCUGGCAUUUAUAGGCAUGAGUCACUGCACCUGGCUCAAAGGUUUUUUACAUUUCAAAUCAGUGUAUUCAAAUGUAUGACAAUAUACCUAGCAAUAUGAGUUUUGACCAGAGGCCCCAGCCCCCGCCCCUGCACAUAUAGGCAAGGAUCAUACUGAUUGCCUCACACUCUGGUCCUCUUGCAUUUACAACAGGGAUCAGCUCCUCGUAGGCACUUACUCACUCAACAAUUGUUUGUCGGCCAUUUACCAGGUGCAGAGACUAUUCCAGAUGCUGGGGACAUAAUGGAGAAACACAGAUGUAGUUCCCUGUUCUUACAGAGUUCAGAGUUAAGUGAGCUGCUCCAGGUCCUGGACCUUGCGGCUCAGCUCCUCAGCUGGUGGGAAGCUCUUGCCCACUUUCAUGAAGAGAGCCGCGAUCUUGUUGCUGCGCAGGAAGCCAGCUGCCCACCGCCGAAGCCCAUGUAGGACGCAGGCCUCCACAGCCACUGCAAGGACAUGGUGGUCAGCAGGCCCCACCCUGCCCAUGCUCCCCGAUGCCCAGCAGGGCCUGGAGCAUCAGACAGAGACCACUUGGAGAGCCAGGAUCCCCAGAAUCACAAAAUUCAGGACAGUGGUCAUAAGGAAAAAGUUUUAGCUGGGGCUGGGUUUGAACCCGCCACCUCCAGCAUAUGGGGCCAGAGCCCUCCUCCUUUGAGCCACAGGAGCCGCCCAUCACCACCUCCCUUUUGCUCUGUAUCUGAGGUCCUCAAACCCUGGGCUGCAGACUGGUACCAGUCUGUUGCCUGUUAGGAACCAGGCUGCACAGCAGGUGAGCAACAGUCUGAGGACCAGUCAACCUGCCACCACCCAGAAGGAGCAGUGUUCUACAAACAGGCCUCCCCUCACUACCCAACGUUCCUCAGACAUUCCCUGAUGAGAAGGUCCCCUCAAUGUGUGAUUUUGGAGCAUUCACCUGGGGGCAUCUGGGCAUGAAAGUGCUUCAGGCUAAAAUUACCAGGCAAACGUCCACUGGAGAGGGUGCAGCUGGGAAGAACGCACCUCCCCGCCCCGCCUCUUUCCAUUCCCAGAGAAAUCAACCAGCAUGUUGCAUAUCCCCAGCCCACACCCUGGAGACCAGCCAGCUCUCUCCUGGGUGCUCUGUCCACUGUGUGGAGCUGGACUCCCAUGGCAACAUGCCCCAUCUUCACAGACCCACAGCUCUCACAGGAGAGGAGGAUGCACACAGACCCUCUGGAAGACUGCCCAAACGUGGGAUGGAAGGAGGCGUCUGGGCAGCUGUGGAAAAAUAAGAAAUGAAAUUCCCAGGAGGUUGCUUAAAACACACUGGUAAACAAGAAAAGGGACUAAUCCACUUUCCCCUGACCUUAGAAGGCAAAGCAGCCCAAUAUUGUCUAAAGGUAACUUCAAAUACUGUUCAAAUUCUGUCUCCACCUCUUGCCAGCUGUGUGGCCUUGGGAAAGUCACUACACCUCUGUGUGCUUAAUUUAUGGUAAUUAUCUAUAAAUCCGGACAAUAUGUAUGACUUCCUCUCCCAAGGUGUUAUUUUUUUCUGACAUGAAAUAAAUUAAUGCAUAUAAAGCACAUAACAUAAUGUCUAGGACAUGGCAGAACUUUCUGGAAUUUUCUGUACCUGUCCUGUCC
Nycticebus coucang (slow loris) is the source of this 2616-nucleotide long non-coding RNA. RefSeq lists it as uncharacterized. The record is from RefSeq and is a predicted model, not a curated record. The transcript is spliced from 6 exons. Lineage: Eukaryota; Metazoa; Chordata; Mammalia; Primates; Lorisidae.